UACGAAGGGUGCAAACGUUGCUCGGAAUUAUUGGGCGUAAAGCGCACGUAGGCGGCAUUGCAAGUCGGAUGUGAAAUCCCUCGGCUUAACCAAGGAAGUGCAUCCGAAACUGCAGUGCUUGAGUACUUAAGAGGAUCGCGGAAUUCCCGGUGUAGAGGUGAAAUGCGCAGAUAUCAGGAAGAACACCCGUGGCGAAGGCGGCUCUCUGGGACGGUACUGACGCUGAGACGCGAAAGCGUGGGGAGCGAACAGG
Molecule: ribosomal RNA, 253 nt
Filed under: uncultured bacterium
Lineage: Bacteria
Description: partial 16S ribosomal RNA
Rfam family: Bacterial small subunit ribosomal RNA
Source: RNAcentral